CUACGGGCCGCACCAGUGGGGAAUAUUGCACAAUGGAGGAAACUCUGAUGCAGCAACGCCGCGUGGAGGAUGACACUUUUCGGAGCGCAAACUCCUUUUAUAUAGGAAGAAGAUGACGGUACUAUAUGAAUAAGCGCCGGCUAACUCCGUGCCAGCAGCCGCGGUAAUACGGAGGGCGCAAGCGUUACUCGGAAUCACUGGGCGUAAAGAGCGUGUAGGCGGAUUAAAAAGUCAGAAGUGAAAUCCUAUAGCUUAACUAUAGAACUGCUUCUGAAACUCUUAAUCUAGAAUAUGGGAGAGGUGGAUGGAAUUUCUGGUGUAGGGGUAAAAUCCGUAGAGAUCAGAAGGAAUACCGAUUGCGAAGGCGAUCUACUAGAACAUUAUUGACGCUGAGACGCGAAAGCGUGGGGAGCAAACAGGAUUAGAUACCCGGGUAGUC
Molecule: ribosomal RNA, 439 nt
Filed under: uncultured bacterium
Lineage: Bacteria
Description: partial 16S ribosomal RNA
Rfam family: Bacterial small subunit ribosomal RNA
Source: RNAcentral